This 74-nucleotide transfer RNA is filed under the name Cordylochernes scorpioides. Its description in RNAcentral is "tRNA-Arg". It matches the Rfam family "tRNA". From Rfam's summary of the family: Transfer RNA (tRNA) molecules are approximately 80 nucleotides in length. Their secondary structure includes four short double-helical elements and three loops (D, anti-codon, and T loops). Further hydrogen bonds mediate the characteristic L-shaped molecular structure. tRNAs have two regions of fundamental functional importance: the anti-codon, which is responsible for specific mRNA codon recognition, and the 3' end, to which the tRNAs corresponding amino acid is attached (by aminoacyl-tRNA synthetases). tRNAs cope with the degeneracy of the genetic code in two manners: having more than one tRNA (with a specific anti-codon) for a particular amino acid; and 'wobble' base-pairing, i.e. permitting non-standard base-pairing at the 3rd anti-codon position. Lineage: Eukaryota; Metazoa; Arthropoda; Arachnida; Pseudoscorpiones; Chernetidae. The record is from RNAcentral.
GGGCUUGUGGCGCAACGGAUAACGCGGUCUGACUACGGAUCAGAAGAUUCCAGGUUCGAAUCCUGGCAGGCUCG